UACGUAGGGGGCAAGCGUUGUCCGGAAUCAUUGGGCGUAAAGCGCGUGUAGGCGGCUGGGUAAGUCCGCUCUGAAAGCCCGGGGCUCAACCCCGGGAGGCGGGUGGAUACUGCUCAGCUCGAGUCCGGAAGAGGAGUGUGGAAUUCCUGGUGUAGCGGUGAAAUGCGCAGAUAUCAGGAGGAACACCAGUGGCGAAGGCGGCGCUCUGGGCUGCACCUGACGCUGAGAUGCGAAAGUGUGGGGAGCAAACGGG
RNAcentral lists this ribosomal RNA (253 nucleotides) under uncultured bacterium. Its description in RNAcentral is "partial 16S ribosomal RNA". It matches the Rfam family "Bacterial small subunit ribosomal RNA", at positions 524 to 776 of the family's 1533-position model. The record is from RNAcentral.